UUAAGCGACUAAGCGUACACGGUGGAUGCCCUGGCAGUCAGAGGCGAUGAAGGACGUGCUAAUCUGCGAUAAGCGUCGGUAAGGUGAUAUGAACCGUUAUAACCGGCGAUUUCCGAAUGGGGAAACCCAGUGUGUUUCGACACACUAUCAUUAACUGAAUCCAUAGGUUAAUGAGGCGAACCGGGGGAACUGAAACAUCUAAGUACCCCGAGGAAAAGAAAUCAACCGAGAUUCCCCCAGUAGCGGCGAGCGAACGGGGAGCAGCCCAGAGCCUGAAUCAGUGUGUGUGUUAGUGGAAGCGUCUGGAAAGGCGCGCGAUACAGGGUGACAGCCCCGUACACAAAAAUGCACAUGCUGUGAGCUCGAUGAGUAGGGCGGGACACGUGGUAUCCUGUCUGAAUAUGGGGGGACCAUCCUCCAAGGCUAAAUACUCCUGACUGACCGAUAGUGAACCAGUACCGUGAGGGAAAGGCGAAAAGAACCCCGGCGAGGGGAGUGAAAAAGAACCUGAAACCGUGUACGUACAAGCAGUGGGAGCACGCUUAGGCGUGUGACUGCGUACCUUUUGUAUAAUGGGUCAGCGACUUAUAUUCUGUAGCAAGGUUAACCGAAUAGGGGAGCCGAAGGGAAACCGAGUCUUAACUGGGCGUUAAGUUGCAGGGUAUAGACCCGAAACCCGGUGAUCUAGCCAUGGGCAGGUUGAAGGUUGGGUAACACUAACUGGAGGACCGAACCGACUAAUGUUGAAAAAUUAGCGGAUGACUUGUGGCUGGGGGUGAAAGGCCAAUCAAACCGGGAGAUAGCUGGUUCUCCCCGAAAGCUAUUUAGGUAGCGCCUCGUGAAUUCAUCUCCGGGGGUAGAGCACUGUUUCGGCAAGGGGGUCAUCCCGACUUACCAACCCGAUGCAAACUGCGAAUACCGGAGAAUGUUAUCACGGGAGACACACGGCGGGUGCUAACGUCCGUCGUGAAGAGGGAAACAACCCAGACCGCCAGCUAAGGUCCCAAAGUCAUGGUUAAGUGGGAAACGAUGUGGGAAGGCCCAGACAGCCAGGAUGUUGGCUUAGAAGCAGCCAUCAUUUAAAGAAAGCGUAAUAGCUCACUGGUCGAGUCGGCCUGCGCGGAAGAUGUAACGGGGCUAAACCAUGCACCGAAGCUGCGGCAGCGACGCUUAUGCGUUGUUGGGUAGGGGAGCGUUCUGUAAGCCUGCGAAGGUGUGCUGUGAGGCAUGCUGGAGGUAUCAGAAGUGCGAAUGCUGACAUAAGUAACGAUAAAGCGGGUGAAAAGCCCGCUCGCCGGAAGACCAAGGGUUCCUGUCCAACGUUAAUCGGGGCAGGGUGAGUCGACCCCUAAGGCGAGGCCGAAAGGCGUAGUCGAUGGGAAACAGGUUAAUAUUCCUGUACUUGGUGUUACUGCGAAGGGGGGACGGAGAAGGCUAUGUUGGCCGGGCGACGGUUGUCCCGGUUUAAGCGUGUAGGCUGGUUUUCCAGGCAAAUCCGGAAAAUCAAGGCUGAGGCGUGAUGACGAGGCACUACGGUGCUGAAGCAACAAAUGCCCUGCUUCCAGGAAAAGCCUCUAAGCAUCAGGUAACAUCAAAUCGUACCCCAAACCGACACAGGUGGUCAGGUAGAGAAUACCAAGGCGCUUGAGAGAACUCGGGUGAAGGAACUAGGCAAAAUGGUGCCGUAACUUCGGGAGAAGGCACGCUGAUAUGUAGGUGAAGUCCCUUGCGGAUGGAGCUGAAAUCAGUCGAAGAUACCAGCUGGCUGCAACUGUUUAUUAAAAACACAGCACUGUGCAAACACGAAAGUGGACGUAUACGGUGUGACGCCUGCCCGGUGCCGGAAGGUUAAUUGAUGGGGUCAGCGCAAGCGAAGCUCUUGAUCGAAGCCCCGGUAAACGGCGGCCGUAACUAUAACGGUCCUAAGGUAGCGAAAUUCCUUGUCGGGUAAGUUCCGACCUG
Molecule: ribosomal RNA, 1962 nt
Filed under: human gut metagenome
Description: bacterial LSU rRNA
Rfam family: Bacterial large subunit ribosomal RNA
Source: RNAcentral